UAAGGAGAAGAAGGAGAUGAAGCUAAUAUUUCUUUUAGAGAAGAAGGUUAUGAAAAUCAGUAGAGGAUCAAUCUAAUUGAGGUAGAAUGUUUAAUCCUUUCUCUUUGUGUUUCUUUAUUAUAUUUUGAUUUUUAUUUUGUUUAAUCUUAUAUCAUUAGGGUUCUGAAAUUUGUCUAUUUAAUUUGAUGAAUACUAUUAAUGAUCAGACUUCUGUUAUUGGUAUAUAACAUGAUUGGGUAUCACUAGUUAAAAUUUGAGAGUAUUCCACGAUAUAUUCUCCGUUGAAUGUGUGUUUGAAUUUGGAUGAUAAUUUCUGAAAUUGUGGACAGUUCCGCUUUGCUGUGUUUUUGAUAUUCUUAAGAAGUCUUAAUGACGCUAAAACGAUUUGAGUCCUUAACAAAAGUUGUUUAUUUGUGAUUUAUCUAGCAGUGUGUUUUGGAUUGAGUCAAUUUUACAUUUCUAUGAAUUUAUCAUGAAUUUUUUGGUAAUGACAUGUAAUCUGCCCAGUUUUUAGAAUGUCCUUGUAAAUUCGAUAACUUUUGUUUGAACCGUUGGUUUUAUGUGAAAUUUGGAUAUGUGGUUGUUUUUGGAGAUAUGUAUGUUCUAUAAAAAUUUCAGGAAUAUCAGAUAAAUAAAUCACCCAAAUAUGUAUGAUGCAAAAUGGACGCAGUUAUCUUGUUUUUAGAAAUGCUUGAAAGAAAAUUUAUUUUUUUAUGCCAUGGUUGCUUGUGUGUGUGUAAAAAUGUUUUAUAAAAGGAAAUGAGUUCAUGUUUUUCCGUUAGAUGGAAUAUGGUUUCAUGCUAACGGCUGGUAAUGAUCCCCGAGAGUUAAAUGGGUAAUGAUCCCCAUGGGAACUUGUGUUUCCCGACCAUCGAUGGCGGCUGUCCGUGCCGGUAAGUGAUAGGUGGUGUACGAACCAAGGUUUUCGUACCGUGAAUGAAACGAGUAAUGAUCCCCAAGAGCAGAUGGGUAUGAUCCCCAUAGGAACUUUCGUUCCUGACCAUCGAUGGAGGUUGUCCGUGCCGAUAAACGAUAGGUGGGUGUAUGAACCAAGGUUUUCGUACCUUGAACUCAAUAUUUUUUGGUGAGAUGUGUUGAAAUAUAGAUUAAAUGAUUUAUUAGAAACGUAAUUGGUUUUAUGAACUCAUGAGUUGAAACUUAAAUGGAUGAAUUGUGAAUUGAUGUGUUAAAUCCCAAAUGGAUGGAUGAUUAGUGAACUCAUGGUUUCUCUGUGACAAUAUUAAUAUGUGAAUAGAUGUGUUGAAUCAUUAAUGAAUGACUUGUUGACAAUUAUUAUGGUAUUGUAAACUCAUGGUUUGUUGGUGAUAAUAUUGAUAUGUCACUCAUGGUUUGAAACUUAAAAGGAUGGAUUGUUGGAAACAUUAUUGAUGAUGUUAAUUGGUGUGUUGAAUCCUAAAUGGAUGAUUUGUUGGCAAUAAUAUUGGUAUUGUGAACUCAUGAUUGAACAAAUAAAUUGGAUGACUUGUUGAUGUAUUAUUGUGAAGUCUUAUUUGAAAUCUUAAUUAAAUGAUUUGUUAGAAACGAUAGUGGUAUUUUGAAUUCACGGUUGAACAAAUGAAUUAGAUGAUUUAGUGAAAACAAAGGUAAUGUUGUUGGUUGAAUAUAUUCGUUGAAGUUGCACUGUAUUUCUUAUUGUAUGUUAUUCCUUGAUAAAAUGAUUUUGUUUCCACAUAUUUAGAGAAUAGGGGUACAUUAUAUUGAGUUGUCAUCUCACCCCAAUUGACAUCCUUGCAGAUUUAUCAGAGUAGCACAACGAAAGCUAUGAAUGAGGAACUUAGUGAUUGAACUGCUUGAUUGUAUUUCUUGGAAUGUAAUUUGAAAUAAUAUGUUUGGUUGAAAUCGUCGUUAAGAUAAUAAGCGGAUUUAAAUGCUUCAGAUUAUGUUAUAUAAAGUUUCAACUACGUUUUGUGCAAAAGUAAAUCAGCAAAAAUAUGUAUGCAUAAGUCUCUUUCCGACCCGUAACGCUUCGAGUUUGGAUCCCCAUAUGGGUUUGACCCUAGUCCGGAACUAGGGGUGUUACAAGUUGAUAUCAGAGCUCUAGGCUUUAGAUCUUACAUGGGACAUUAAAAAAAAAUCGUAUGAAUUGCUGUGCAUGAUUGUUUGUUAUGAUUGUUGGUGAUGUUGCUUAACGUUUUGUAAAUGGGUUUUGUUUUGUCGGCCACGCCUCUUUUUUACGCUUCUCUUACUUGUCGUCGUUCCUCUUUAUUUCUCGUUUUCUGAUUUUUGGUAGGAUCUUGCUCCUACCUGAUGGAUCAAUUUCCUAGUUUGCCCAGGUUUAGUUUCAACUAAUAGGGUUCGAACUAUCGCGCAGGGCGCAAAAUACCUAAUUUUUGCAAAUUGAUAAAAUUAGGUUAAAGAACUGAAUUUUGAGGGUUGCCGCAAAAUCAAUCAAUUUUUGGUGAAUUUUGCAUACUGAUACAAAAAAUCACUAAUUUAAUAUCAAAGGGAAGCAUAGCUUUGCGUGCCUCUGAUUGAGUACUUCCACAUGCAUCUUAAUCCUGACACUUCGGGAGAUUCAUGCUACUCGGCUGGGAGCGAGCAUUAGUCGUCAUGUCAUGUCAGUAUUAAGAGUUCAAAUGGGGAACAUGACAUAGAAUAAAAACUCACAAAUUUACAGAAUAUUUGGGAUUGUUGCUAAAUGCACCAUUCUGGAUAAAUUUCAUAUAAAUAUACUGAAUUGCUCCAUAUACAUGUAGUUAAAGAGGCCUCGACACUCAUCACUUUUAAAUGGCUCAACUUCUUUGCAUAAUGAUGGCACAUUAAAUACAAGGUUUUACAAUUUUAGCCCUGACUUAAAAACCACCAUCAACAUUAAGUUCCAUGCUUAGUACAAAACAAUGACAUUAUAGCGGGGUAACCACUAGAUGGUGACAGACGAUGAUAAAAAUCGAAAAGGCGAGACAUGUAGAGGUUACCAGGAAAAGUUUGAUUGACCUUUGGCAACAGGUCCGUGCGGCUGGUGAUCUUCGUACCGGCCUGCUGCUAGUUCGGCCAUGGAGCGUUGGCGCCGCGAGCUCAGCUGCCUUUCUCCGUGCAUGGUCCGAAAGAAAACCCUCCUUUACUCAAAUUCCAAAGUAUCUAUGUGUAUAAAAGGGAAUCGACCUUCCCUCUUCUUGUUGUUUUUAUUUGCUCGCCCAUCUUCAUGUCUUCAUCUGCAGCAACAAGCUUCUCACCGUCGGUAGUCCAGGCGCGUCAAUUGUCAGCGGCAAGCGUUGGAGUGAGCAUCAGCAGCACCAGUAACAGAGUGAUCAACAGUAAUUAGGAGGAUUAGCAGCAAGACCAGCAUGAGAGUUCGAGUUACUCAAAAGUGAACAGUAACUUAAGAAAUUCUUGUUUGAAUAAGAUGUCACCUAGAGAUGUUUUUGCUGCCAAACUGAGAAGUGUUAACAAUUCCAAAGAUGGGCCGAAUGUAGAUGAUGAAUUCUUCACAAAGUCUUACACAGCUGCAAGGACACGUCCCGGCCAUGUGAUAACCCUUCUUACUGAUUCGGAAAAUGAAGGAGUUGUUCAGUCGAUUUCUCCAGAGUGUGUAAUAAGGUUUUGUCUCCAUAGGAAAGAGUAUCCAACUUCUCCCAUUGACUUCAAUAUUUGCCAUAACCCACUGCGCUCUUAUGAUGGAUGGAUGGAUGAGAUACAUGAUGAGCAAUGACCAUGUCGGGGAAAAUCUGAUUAAGGCACAAAUCAUGGAUGAUGUCAUGGCGUUUGCAACACUUUGUAUUAGGAAAGAUGUUGUAGGUUUGAUUACUUUCAUUUCUAGAUGGUGCAUGUCCACUCAUACGACCAUACGUAGAUGGGGCAAUACGACUAUUACUUUAGAGAGUGUGGUUGUUCUGCUGAAUCUUCCGGCUGUAGGAAAUCUUGAUUUUGAAUUUUCCAAUGAAGAAGAAAUAAUGCACGCCACUCUAGUUAAGAAGGCAGAAGGAUAUAAUCGGCAGGAAAAUGAUGAAAAAUGCUUCUAUACUUGGUGGGUGUCUGAAUGGUUUCCUACGAAACCAAAACCGGAUUAGGUAUUGAAUGACACGCUCUGUGUUGCUGCGUUUUUAUCCUUGUGGCUGUCUAGAUAUGUUUUUGAUGAUGGCUCCGGCACGAAGGUAAUAAGACGGAAGCUUGUUAAAUUUGCUAUUAAGCUGGCGCAAGGUGUUGUUCUUCCCAUAGGCAGCUUGUUCCUUGGUUCCUUGUAUUCCCAUCUGGAUUCCCUAGCAGCGGACAUGCAUGCUUCCAACGGAUAUAUGAAGAUAGAAUCACAUGUUCAUAUCUCCGUUCUCCAAGCAUGGUUGUGGGAGCAUUUCAAAGGUUAUGCUCCUAAUCUUGUAGCUUCGUUUUCCAGUAUAUAUGGAGGUGCUAGAAUACUUCGUUGGUUGAAGAAGCGCCCAAAACCUGGCUUAAGGAUCAUCGAUUUCUUCGACAACAUGCAUGCAGUUAACUUCGUCCCUAGGCACCGAUUCACACAUCUAUAGCGCAGCCGGAUACUUUUGCUUCCGCUUCGGGCAUAACAUUGCAUUCUAAUGGAGAGAAUCUGAGUAUUAGAGAAACUGUGUUUACGCGAAGCUGUAUACCUGGACAUGUUCCAUAUUUCUUCAAGGAAUCUUUUACAGUGGUUCCUUAUAAUAUCGACAGAGCUGCUCGUCAAAUGGGUUUUGAUCAAGGAAUUCCGUUCUAUCGUCCGUUGAUGCCCUCAAAAGACCUGUUGACAUCUGUUUUUCAUAAUAGUGUUUUCGCAACAAAGAAGAGACUCCCAUUCUUGCUUCCAGGAAGAAAUCCGGUGGUAACCCCUGGGUAUAAGGAAUUCUGGCAGGAAGAGUUCCUUGCUCUUCAUCAAUUCGUGCAGGACGUCGUGACGGAUCAACGCGGCAAUCCCUCUCCUAAGACUUUAGAAAAACAUAAGUUGUUGAAGCCGCUUCCUCGAGUAAGUGGAAAUCUUCUGGACAAGGUAGAAACAGUCCCCAGGAAAAGGAGCGGAGGUCAAAAAGGCGUGCAGGUGGUAUCCGAUCAGCUUCACCAUCCCUAGUGAUCUCCAAUUCUUCCAAUAUGCAGACUCGCACGCAGCCGCAACAUGGCGCCUCCCGGAGAGAAAUCCGGUGAUAUUGAGUCUCUUGAAGAUGAAGAGGAAGAAGAAGAAGGUUCGGUAUGAUAAAGAAAGUACCUCUAAGUGUAGUAGCGAAUCCAGCUCUUCCGGUGAGCCAACAGCUGAGUCGGAAGGAACCGCACCUGGAGAUAACCCUGAGAUGGAGAUUAACCCUAAUGAGGAUGUCGUUGCGCCUUCCAAUGAGAAUGUGGACGCCAUGUCCGUUGUUGCGGGUGUAAUUGUUUCCAAAGAGUCUUCUGAAAUUGAAGGAGCGUUGGUCGUAAAUUCUGCUGCAUGCGCCAUUUUCAACCCUCCGUUCGUUGCUCCCUUAGCCGAUCAUGUUCUGAUUGGAGGAUUUGGCGUGCCAGCUAAGUACGCGGAGUUGUAUACCCGAAUAUGGGAUAAGCAUGGACACAUCGCAAUGACCAAGAAGAUUAGCAGUCGUGUUUCGUUGGUUAAACGCGUGGAAGAGGCCCUAUCUUCAAUCCAUGAUAUGUGCAGCGUGACUGGACACACCGUUUCUGGGGAAGUAAUCUCAAACUGGGAGUACCAUCGGGACAUGUGCGUGAACUUUGAGUUUAACGCCUCCUGGUUCUGCGAAGGAUUUUCCAAAAUCAAAAAGCUGCAUACUGAAGUGAACGAGGUUCCCUCCCUGGAUCUCAUUAAUCAACAGGAGGUAGAGAUCGAGAAGUUAUCCCAGGAACUGAAGUUAAAGCAGGUUGCUCUCCAAAACAUGAAGGACGCUUUCUCCAAGAAGAAUGAGUUGUUGUUGGAUGAUUUCCCUUGAAUGCUUUUAUUUUUUCUGAACCUUCUCCUCUUAGGUUUUUUUUUUGAACGGCAAAUGACGCUUCUUUUGUAGUUUGAUUUUCUGGUUUUGAUCUAAUAGGCAAUU
Molecule: RNA transcript, 5978 nt
Organism: Papaver somniferum (opium poppy)
Lineage: Eukaryota; Viridiplantae; Streptophyta; Magnoliopsida; Ranunculales; Papaveraceae
Exons: 5
Source: RefSeq, a predicted model, not a curated record